CGGCGGACGGGUGAGUAACGCGUGGGUAACCUGCCUCAUACAGGGGGAUAACAGUUAGAAAUGACUGCUAAUACCGCAUAAGACCACAGCACCGCAUGGUGCAGGGGUAAAAACUCCGGUGGUAUGAGAUGGACCCGCGUCUGAUUAGGUAGUUGGUGGGGUAACGGCCUACCAAGCCGACGAUCAGUAGCCGGCCUGAGAGGGUGACCGGCCACAUUGGGACUGAGACACGGCCCAA
RNAcentral lists this ribosomal RNA (238 nucleotides) under uncultured bacterium. RNAcentral's name for it is "partial 16S ribosomal RNA". It matches the Rfam family "Bacterial small subunit ribosomal RNA", at positions 96 to 334 of the family's 1533-position model. The record is from RNAcentral.